UCCUUUUGAGCUGCGGGAGGUGCCCCCAUGGCUGUCCACUGUUCUCUUGCAGGGUCAGCUUGUGUUGAUGGCCUUAACACCAGCACGGCUUGGCUAACGGCCAACUUUAGAAACUUCAGCAGACACGCUGCAUAUCACGACUUGCUCUCUCUGAACUCCAGAUUUAAUGGGUUCGAUGUGCUCAGUAGUCUGACAGUGAAGCAGCGUGCACAGUUAUCAGCCACCCAGGGGACCUUGCAGACCCCCGAAGAUGUUCAGAGACUGAUGAGUUUUGUGACCACCUCUACAGUAACCGAGUACAUCGAUGAAUUGAACAGACAGGCCAACCUGAGUCUGAAGGGGGACAUCAGAGCCACGCUGCUACAGCACAUCCUAGCUGCAGCCCAGCCAAUAUUUCAGAAGGCAGAUGAUGCUGAAUUCGUGCACUGGAUGGAUCCUCGCCUUGCAGGCUUGAUCUCAGGACUGAACAGCACCCAUGUCCCACUCGUUUUCAACGGUCUAGAAUCUAGAAACUGCUCUGCCAUCAAUGCUGUAGUAACUGUGCUUAAUAGCUCCAUCACCGACUUCAGCAACACCACGCGACAGAGCAUUUACCGCGGGAUACUGAACGUGACAGCCGGUAAGGAGCAUUGUUCAUGGAAAGGUUUCACUAAACGAUUCAGCUGCUUUGACAUCGUAACUGGUUCAUUCCACUCCGCUGAGCCCCACUCCCAGGCAUUAUUUUUAAGCCAUUGUCCUUUUCCCUCUGGUUAUUUCAGGUUCCUCCCUACGGUGCUACAUCACAAACACUAGCUUCGCCAUGUAUUUAAGAGAGACGUUUCAGGGCUUUGCUGCUUUUCUGAAUCUGAGAGAUCUCGCCUCCAUCGUUCCAGCAUCUGAAAUCCAAACGGUACUGGAAUAGCUAGGAGAUGUGUUCGUGAUCUUGCUACAACCCUCGGUUACACACACAGCCCACCUGAACAAUCCUGUGAAUUUGUACAUGUAUUCAUAACAUGGUCUCCACAUUUAUUUUUUGCCUAAUGCAGGAGGGGGCAUUCUGCCUCCUGACGUACCUCCUUUUUGGGGAGACAUUCUUUCAGAGUUUCUCUCAGUUACUAGUCCAAUUGCUAGUGGCACAUCUCUCUCUCUCUCUCUCUCUCUCUCUCGUAUUUACAGGGGACCAAUCACAGUAGUAUCUGAGCCAACUGCCCCAUUCCACACUCCUCUGUUCAUCAUUGACCUAUGUUUAAUGAAGUCUCUUGAAAGUUUCUAACGUGCUUUACACAGCCUGUUGUCACACAGGUG
RNAcentral lists this long non-coding RNA (1284 nucleotides) under Chrysemys picta bellii (western painted turtle). RNAcentral describes it as "lncRNA (ENSCPBG00000021102.1)". The record is from RNAcentral. Lineage: Eukaryota; Metazoa; Chordata; Testudines; Emydidae.